CUGCAGCCAUCCAGGGCGGUGGUUCCAUUGAAUAUUGAGAAAGGACUUUUACAAGAAUUAAAACAGAUGCAAAAGAAAUGGGGACUCUUUAUUUGUUUGUGUCUUGGUUGAGUAAUAUUCUUUGAUGUAUUAUACUUGUUGUGUUACGGUGUUCCUAUUUGUUUUAUUGGGGUUUUUUGAGUCUUUUGUCACACAUACUUUUAUUUUGAAAUCUAAAAUAGGAAGUUUAGCGUAGCCGUUUGUGAACACGGGCGCACUGUAUACGUGAAACGACAUUCUGAUCAAUAUUACCGGAAACGAAUGUUAACUUUUGGAUGCACUCUAGGCAGUCAUAUGUUUAAGGAUUCUUCUCUUAGCUCCUGGCUGAUGAAGGGCACAAGGGGAGAAUACCUUUCAAUGUCCUGACAUUUCAGGAGAGCUGCGACAGAAAGAGCCUCAUUCAAGGGAACAAGUGAGGAGUUUCACAGUUGGGUCCUUAAAAACCUGGCGCACUGUAUGGCAGCAAAACGCCUCGAAAGAUGAAUGCGCAACUGAACAUCAAACUCCUUUAUAAUCAUCAACAUAAUCACCACUUGGUGAGCCACAGCCAGUAAUGAUGCAGCAGUCUCAGCAGGCAGGUACAAGCCGGAUGAGAAGAUUAACGCUGCGUCUCUAUUGACCACCACAUUAUAUAGCUUUUUUCUGUGCCGGCAGACGACUAUGGCAGCGAGCGAUGAUUAGGGAGGAAUACUGACGAGAUGGUUGACAUAGCUUCAGAGGAAAAUUAUGGACGAUAUGAAAUAGACCAAACCAACAUGGAACACAUUUCUGAAAGUAUUUUUUAAAUACAACCCCUCCUUGUUAAAGAUCUGUACUGUCACAUUGGGCGUUGAUGGUAAAAAUGAAAUGUUAUAUAUACAGCCGCGGAAAAAAUAAGUGUAACGCCCAGCCAGCAGAGAGAGACGUCAUAGACAACGCUUAUGUUUCUACUGCUGAGAGGCAGGCCAUCGUAGUCUGGGAUGUCCGCACAAAUCUCAAGUCAACCCCAGGGUAAAUAUUGAACAUUUUUCAUUGCUCAGCAACAAAUCAUUCACUGUACCCAUGUGUGUAAAAACUGAUAUUCUGUCUCUUGACUUAACAGCGAUGAUUGACUCUGGUGCCGCUUUGAAUUUAAUUAGUAAAGACAUUGUCACUAAUAGGGAUGUAACGAUUCACCGUGAGCCGGUUGAAAAUCGGUUAUAAUGAGCGACGAUUCAAAUCGGUUGAGGCUUGAACUGAAUCGCAAUACAUUUUUUGAACAGCAGGGGCCGCUAUUUUCACUGCAAACCUAAACGUGGAUGCUGAUAUUUCUUAAAUGCAAAAAAAAUCCAAGAAAAGCACAGACAGUAUUAGUUUGUUUAUAUUAAAGAGACUUUUUCUGUUAUUAAUUUGUUAUAAAAUUGCAGUUUAGUUUUGUUAUUUGAAAUAAAACAUUAUUUUAUCAUACAAAGAAACGUGAAGCAUUUAAGAAAUAACGCAAGGGACGUUGUUCAUUUCUAAUUUGUUUCAACUCAUUUUUUCAAAAUAAAUCGUGAGUAAAUCAUGAAUAAAUCGCAUCGUGAGAUCAGAAUCGUGAAUCGCAUCGCAUCGUGAGCUGAGUGAAUCGUUACAUCCCUAGUCACUAAAUAUAACAUUCCUACUCAACCAUGCGACCCUCCAAUUAAGAUUAAAACCAUUGAUGACACCCCUAUUGGGGAAGGCAAUAUGAUUCCAUUCACAAACACCAUACAUCAGAACCUAUCCUUCCUCCAUCUGUCAUCUUAGCUCUGAUAUCCUAGGACAUUAUGGAGGAGUUACAACGUGAACAGCAGAAUGAACCUAUCCCUGCCCAAUGCCCCCCCAACAAACACAAUGUGCCUCAAUGUUUACGACAACGUAUCAUGCAGUGGACCCACACAUCUCUCAGUGCCGGUCACCCUGGAAUUUCCCAUACCAUCAAGCUAGUCCAAAAUUCCUUUUGGUGGUCAGCAAUGACAAAAGAGAUUACAACCUACGUGAAGUCAUGCCAAGUCUGUGCCCAGUCUAAAACCCCUAAGGAACUACCUUCAGGCCUUCUACAACAUUUACCCAUUCCUCAACGCCCAUGGUCUCAUCUGUCCAUAGACUUUGUCACCGAUCUUCCCCCAUCAGAGAACUUUACUACUAUUCUAGUAAUCAUGCUUCUAAAAGUCCUGCCGCCUUGUACCAUUAAAAAGAUUACCCACCGCCAUGGAAACAGCUCAAGCUUUAUUCCAUAAUGUAUUCAGAGUUUAUGGUCUUCCAGAAGACAUCGUCAGCGAUUGGGGAACUCAAUUUACUUCUCAAGUCUGGAGAGCUUUUUGCAAACAGCUCAAUAUCAUUAUGAGCCUUACUUCAGGAUAUCACCCUCAAGCCAAUGGCCAAGUAGAACGUCUGAAUCAGGAGAUUGGCAGAUAUCUAAGAACUUAUUGCAGUUGAGAGCAACAUAGAUGGUCAGAGUUUCUCCCGUGGGCUGAGUACCCACUCUUCAACUGGCAUCACCCCCUUCCAAUGUGUCCUAGGAUUUCAACCUCCCUUAUUCCCGUGGUCUGGCGAACCCUCUUCAGUACCAUCUGUGGAUGAUUGGAUUCUUCGUAGUGAGAGGGUGUGGGACAGUGCGCACGUCCGUCUGCAGCGAGCCGUAAGGAGACAAGAACUUCAGGCCAACAAGCGGCAUCACCCACAUCCUCCCUAUCAACCAGGACAACGGGUCUGGCUCUCGACGAGGGACAUCAAACUUCGACUACCCAGCAAGAAGCUUAGUCCAAGGUAUGUUGGUCCAUUUAAAAUUCUUGAGAGAGUUAAUGAGGUCACAUACAAAUUGGCGCUUCCUACUAAUUACCGUAUUUCUCCCUCCUUCCAUGUCUCCCUCUUGAAACCGGUCCACCUGGAUGCUGACCCCUGCCAUGAAGCCCCAGAACCACCACCACCAUUAGAUAGAGACGGGGCCCCCGCCUAUCAGGUGAAAGAGUUGCUGGACUCGAGACGAUGAGGGGGUCAGAUCCAAUAUUUGGUGGACUGGGAGGGUUAUGGACCCGAGGAGAGAUCAUGGGUGAACACCCGCGAUAUUCUGGACCCUUCCCUUAUCGAGGACUUUCAUCGAUCCAGACCCGAUUGCCCAGCACCACGACCACGAGGACGUCCACGUCGAGCUCCAGGAGUCGCUCAUAGGGAGGGGGAUUCUGUAACGCCCAGCCAGCAGCGGGAGCUGUCACCUGAGUACUGACUCCGUUCCACCCCUCUGCUGCCUCUGCAUUCACUUCCUGUUUGGUGACUAUUUAGUCUGAGACCACAUGGGAUCUCAUUGCAAAGUAUUGCCAGUGUAUCUGCCUUACCAAGCGUAUCCCUGUAUUCUCUGCCUGUUUUGUCUGUAUGAUUCUGCCUGGAUAUCUAUUCUCUGAUUACCCCUUUGUUUUGGUUGCAUGGUUGGACUGAUAUUUCUGGAUUUGACUCACUGCCUGCUUAAUCACCUUUGCCUUUGGAUUAACCUCAUGUUUGUUGUACCUGUCUACUCAACUCUGUUUAUGCUACUCAUCUAAUAAACUACCGCACAUGGAUUCUAACUCUGCCUCAGCGUCAUCGUUACAAUAAGAGACUAUUCCAAAUAUUCAUUUACAUUUAAAGGGGUCAUAUUGUGCGAAUACGUGUUUUUCUGUGUCUUUGGUGUGUUAUAAGUUGCCCACAUGCAUGUAUUAGACACGUAAAAUUGCAAAAAUUAAAGUGUCGGGACAAAAGAUGCAUUCUAUCUAAAAGCGAAUGCUCACCCAGACUUGUCUGAAAUGCCUCGUGUAACCACACCCCCACAAAUCUACGUCAGUUCGUGAUAUGAUUUGACUAAGACUGCCCAAAUGUAUAUGCACUUAAAGUGGGCGUACCGUCAGUACAAUUGGUUUGGAACCUGAUGUUCCAAAUAUGGUAAGAGGCGUUACAUUUCUGUCACGCUGGCAGUUUUCGACCAAUCACUACACACUGGUUAACUGGCCAAUCAUAGCACACCUCGCUUUUCAGAGCAUUUGAGCUUUGUGAAAAAUCUGCACGUUUCAGAGAGGCGGGGCAAAGAGGAGGUACAAACAUGCACGUUAGGCCUAUGUGAAAAAGACAGCGUUUUGAACAUUAAAUCGUGUAUACACAUUGCAUUACAUCUAAAAUAAACUAUAAUAUUCAUUUUAGCCGUGUCAUAUGGCCCCUUUAAUCAGAAUUUCUAGAUGUAUUGUGGCCAUUCCAGUUCAGUGUCUGUUGAAUUUCAACAAAAUCAAACCGCAGGAGUGACAUAAUCGAGGUGAUAAAUCGAGAUUAUCACCACUGAUCUAUAUAAAUGACUGGAUUGCUCAUGACGUCAUUACACUGAAGCUACCCCACCGCCAUGUUGGUUCUUUUAAAUUAAUAGGAAGUUAUGACAUAUUAUUGAUAAAACAGUAACUUACCAGCCCCUGUUUUUAUAUCUAGAGUCUUACAGAACAUUCUUAAAAAGCAAAUGUCUUAAGCAUGUAAAUGGUUAAUUAUUUUAAGUCGGGAAUUUUCUCAUCUUGUUAGAUAUAGAGUGAGUUACAUUCAUUUUCAUUACAGUAGCAUACAUAUCAGAUCAGCAGACUAACGAGACACCUCAACAUAUGGCAAAUGUGCUUAUUCUGAAAUCUAAAUACAGAUAAAUACAGGCUGUAUAUGUUCUUUAAUUCAUGAAGCUUUAUUUCUAAACAUUUACACAUGUGCCAUUACAACACUGUGCCAUACACACUCACCUAGAUACAUUGAUUUCUACGUCGCUAUUCUGCCCAAAAUAAACAUAAACAUUGGAAAAAACAUCAGAAGUAAUGAUUUAAAAACUAGGGAUGUAACGAUUCACUCAGCUCACGAUGCGAUGCGAGUCACGAUUCUGAUCUCACGAUGCGAUUUAUUCACGAUUUACUCACGAUUUAUUUUUACAAAAUGAGUUGAAACAAAUUAGAAAUGAACAACUUCCCUUGCAUUAUUUCUUAAAUGCUUCACGUUUCUUUGUAUAAUAAAAUAAUGUUUUAUUUCAAAUAACAAAACUAAACUGCA
Molecule: long non-coding RNA, 5055 nt
Organism: Triplophysa rosa
Lineage: Eukaryota; Metazoa; Chordata; Actinopteri; Cypriniformes; Nemacheilidae
Exons: 4
Source: RefSeq, a predicted model, not a curated record